UAUAACCAGGGAAUCACAAAGGAAAGCCCUAUGAUAGCAUUGUAACUUAGUGUGAAGCCAAUAUAAGCCAGCUGGAGAGCACUGAAGGCUUGGAAAAGUGGCUAUAAAGUUACCUAAGAUAAAAUAGAUGUUUUUAUUAAAUAAAAAGAGGAUUUAUUCCUAUGAAAACGUGUGUACUGCAAAACUUGGGUUUUAUCCCAUGUGUUUAAUAUUAUGAAAAU
This 221-nucleotide long non-coding RNA is filed under the name Helianthus annuus (common sunflower). RNAcentral's name for it is "sRNA HanXRQr2_Chr10g0448631". Lineage: Eukaryota; Viridiplantae; Streptophyta; Magnoliopsida; Asterales; Asteraceae. The record is from RNAcentral.